This 467-nucleotide ribosomal RNA is filed under the name uncultured bacterium. Its description in RNAcentral is "bacterial SSU rRNA". It matches the Rfam family "Bacterial small subunit ribosomal RNA", at positions 434 to 905 of the family's 1533-position model. The record is from RNAcentral.
UAUACGGGAAUAAACCGCCCCUUUUGUGGGGUUUUGACGGUACCGUAUGAAUAAGGACCGGCUAACUCCGUGCCAGCAGCCGCGGUAAUACGGAGGGUGCAAGCGUUAUCCGGAUUUAUUGGGUUUAAAGGGUGCGUAGGCGGGGUAUUAAGUCAGUGGUGAAAUCCUGCAGCUCAACUGUAGAACUGCCUUUGAUACUGGUAUUCUUGAAUGUGGUUGAGGUGGGCGGAAUUUGUGGUGUAGCGGUGAAAUGCAUAGAUAUGACGAAGAACACCAAUUGCGAAGGCAGCUCACUAAACCAUAACUGACGCUGAGGCACGAAAGCGUGGGGAUCAAACAGGAUUAGAUACCCUGGUAGUCCACGCCCUAAACGAUGAUUACUGGAUGUUUGCGAUAUAACGUUGUGGGCUGAACGAAAGCGAUAAGUAAUCCACCUGGGGAGUACGUUCGCAAGGGUGAAACUCAAG